RNAcentral lists this non-coding RNA (271 nucleotides) under Talaromyces marneffei ATCC 18224. RNAcentral's name for it is "Penicillium marneffei ATCC 18224 Eukaryotic small subunit ribosomal RNA". It matches the Rfam family "Eukaryotic small subunit ribosomal RNA", at positions 1 to 274 of the family's 1831-position model. Lineage: Eukaryota; Fungi; Ascomycota; Eurotiomycetes; Eurotiales; Trichocomaceae. The record is from Rfam by way of RNAcentral.
UAUCUGGUUGAUUCUGCCAGUAGUCAUAUGCUUGUCUCAAAGAUUAAGCCAUGCAUGUCUAAGUAUAAGCACUCUUUUACUGUGAAACUGCGAAUGGCUCAUUAAAUCAGUUAUCGUUUAUUUGAUAGUACCCUACUACAUGGAUACCUGUGGUAAUUCUAGAGCUAAUACAUGCGCAAAACCCCGACUUCGGAAGGGGUGUAUUUAUUAGAUAAAAAACCAAUGCCCUUCGGGGCUCCUUGGUGAUUCAUAAUAACUUCACGAAUCGCAU